UCCUAAUUCUAACUCUUUUCUGUCAUUUGCUUUUCAAGUUCUCAACUCCGUGCUUACUUCUUAUUUCUUCUGUUUUUUUUUCUUUUUAGAUUAAUUUUCUCAAUUUGGCAUUGUUGAAACCUUCUCUCCUUCUCUCUUUCUUUUUUUCAAAAUUGACUAUUGGGGUGGUUAUGGUGAUGGUUGAGUCAAAAGGUAUAAGGG
RNAcentral lists this long non-coding RNA (201 nucleotides) under Gossypium raimondii (Peruvian cotton). RNAcentral's name for it is "long non-coding RNA (GRAI_LNC008348)". Lineage: Eukaryota; Viridiplantae; Streptophyta; Magnoliopsida; Malvales; Malvaceae. The record is from RNAcentral.